GUUAGCCAAAGGCAAACUCAUUGAAAGAUGGGGACGCAAAGCCGCGGAUCUAAGGCAGGUUAGACUGCUAAGACAGCCGGGCUGCCGUA
This 89-nucleotide non-coding RNA is filed under the name Bacillus sp. (in: firmicutes). Its description in RNAcentral is "Bacillus sp. c-di-GMP sequence". It matches the Rfam family "c-di-GMP-I riboswitch aptamer". From Rfam's summary of the family: GEMM was predicted in a large-scale screen for bacterial structured RNA regulatory elements. Genes associated with GEMM are involved in a diverse array of functions, including chemotaxis regulation, signal transduction, secretion and chitin. RNAcentral also lists the same sequence under 1 other name. Lineage: Bacteria; Bacillati; Bacillota; Bacilli; Caryophanales; Bacillaceae. The record is from RNAcentral.